AGAGGGGGACAACUCCUCGAAAGAGGAGCUAAUACCCGGAGGUCUGAGUGGUUAGAGAGCUUAGACUGAAGCUGAGGUGCUUCGGGAGGGGCCUGCGGGCUAUCAGCUAGUUGGUGGGGUAAAGGCCUACCAAGGCGAAGACGGCUAGGGGGCGUGAGAGCGUGGUCCCCCACAAUGGAACUGAGACACGGUCCAUACUCCUACGGGAGGCAGCAGUGAGGAAUAUUGAGCAAUGGGCGCAAGCCUGACUCAGCAACGCCGCGUGGAUGAAGAAGGCCUUCGGGUUGUAAAAUCCUUUUCUGUGGGGCGAUGAUGACGGUACCACAGGAAUAAGUUCCGGCUAACUACGUGCCAGCAGCCGCGGUAAAACGUAGGGAACGAGCGUUAUCCGGAUUUACUGGGCGUAAAGCGCACGCAGGCGGUUUGGGAAGUUGGACGUGAAAACUCCUGGCUUAACUGGGAGAGGUCGUACAAAACUACCAAGCUAGAGGUUGGAAGAGGAGAGUGGAAUUCCCGGUGUAGUGGUGGAAUGCGUAGAUAUCGGGAGGAACACCAGUGGUGAAACGGCUCUCUGGUCCAAUACUGACGCUGAGGUGCGAAAGCGUGGGGAGCGAACGGGAUUAGAUACCCCGGUAGUCCACGCUGUAAACGAUGGAUACUAGGUGUAGGGGGUCAUUUACCCCUUCUGUGCCGAAGCUAACGCGUUAAGUAUCCCGCCUGGGGAGUACGGCCGCAAGGCUAAAACUCAAAGGAAUUGACGGGGGCCCGCACAAGCAGCGGAGCGUGUGGUCUAAUUCGAUGCAACACGAAGA
This 812-nucleotide ribosomal RNA is filed under the name uncultured Caldilineaceae bacterium. Its description in RNAcentral is "bacterial SSU rRNA". It matches the Rfam family "Bacterial small subunit ribosomal RNA", at positions 135 to 967 of the family's 1533-position model. Lineage: Bacteria; Bacillati; Chloroflexota; Caldilineae; Caldilineales; Caldilineaceae. The record is from RNAcentral.